GACGAACCGUGCGAACGUUGUUCGGAAUCACUGGGCAUAAAGGGCGCGUAGGCGGCUUUUCAAGUCAGGGGUGAAAUCCGGCAGCUCAACUGUCAAAGUGCCCUUGAUACUGAUGAGCUCGAGGGAGGUAGGGGUGUGUGGAACUUCCGGUGGAGCGGUGAAAUGCGCUGAUAUCGGAAGGAACGCCGGUGGCGAAAGCGACGCACUGGACCUCUUCUGACGCUGAGGCGCGAAAGCUAGGGGAGCAAACGGG
RNAcentral lists this ribosomal RNA (253 nucleotides) under uncultured bacterium. Its description in RNAcentral is "partial 16S ribosomal RNA". It matches the Rfam family "Bacterial small subunit ribosomal RNA", at positions 524 to 776 of the family's 1533-position model. The record is from RNAcentral.